GACGAACGCUGGCGGCGUGCUUAACACAUGCAAGUCGAACGGGUCUGCCCUGUUUUUUGCGGGGUGGGUCAGUGGCGAACGGGUGAGUAACACGUGAGUAACCUGCCCCUCACUUCUGGAUAACCGCUUGAAAGGGUGGCUAAUACGGGGUGUUCUGGCUGUGCCGCAUGGUGUGGCUGGGAAAGAUUCACUUUUGUGGUGUUUUGGUGGGGGAUGGGCUCGCGGCCUAUCAGCUUGUUGGUGGGGUGAUGGCCUGCCAAGGCUUUGACGGGUAGCCGGCCUGAGAGGGUGGGCGGUCACACGGGGACUGAGAUACGGCCCAGACUCCUGCGGGAGGCAGCAGUGGGGGGUAUUGCACAAUGGGCGGAAGCCUGAUGCAGCGACGUCGCGUGAGGGAUGGAGGCCUUCGGGUUGUGAACCUCUUUCGCCGGUGAAGAAGGUCCUGCUCUUUGUGGUGGGGUUGACGGUAGCCGGGUUAUGAAGCGCCGGCUAACUACGUG
RNAcentral lists this ribosomal RNA (500 nucleotides) under uncultured bacterium. RNAcentral describes it as "partial 16S ribosomal RNA". It matches the Rfam family "Bacterial small subunit ribosomal RNA", at positions 28 to 507 of the family's 1533-position model. The record is from RNAcentral.